This 261-nucleotide ribosomal RNA is filed under the name uncultured prokaryote. Its description in RNAcentral is "partial 16S ribosomal RNA". It matches the Rfam family "Bacterial small subunit ribosomal RNA", at positions 524 to 784 of the family's 1533-position model. The record is from RNAcentral.
UACGUAGGGUGCGAGCGUUAAUCGGAAUUACUGGGCGUAAAGCGUGCGCAGGCGGUUUGCUAAUACAGGUGUGAAAUCCCCGGGCUUAACCUGGGAACUGCGCUUGUGACUGGCAGGCUAGAGUACGGCAGAGGGGGGUGGAAUUCCUGGUGUAGCAGUGAAAUGCGUAGAUAUCAGGAGGAACACCGAUGGCGAAGGCAGCCCCCUGGGCCUGUACUGACGCUCAUGCACGAAAGCGUGGGGAGCAAACAGGAUUAGAUA